CACUGCAACACCCGAGUUUUCAUCUAGUAUUUAUGAAAACAAAGUUCCAAGCUUAAUUUUCAUCUUAUCACAUCAUCAAAAAUACAAAACGGAGUUCUCUUGCAUUGUCACUAUGGACUAAGGAAAUUUUUAUAUUCUUUUUAUUAUUAAUUGCAUCGUAUGGGCCUCCAGCCUUUAAGCCUGCAUAUCUCCUCCCUUCAUGAAGCUUCCACCACCUCAGUUUCUUCCUUAUCAUUUCCUCAACUUUUGUCUUACUUCGGGUUUGGGGUCGUUGUUCUACUCAAAGAGAAGAAAUCGAGAGAGAGAGAGAGAGAGAGAGGGGGAUGGAAGGAGGAGAUACAGGUCAACGGAGAGAUCUCGGGGGGAGAGGAAACUGGGAACGGUGGUGGUGGGAGAUGGGCAGAGAGCGCUUGGGACAGCUGAUCGAGGAGGAGGAAGGGAGGAAGAAUUGAGAGGGAUAUGGGAGUAGGAGUGCACCUGAAGGAUAUGGGUUACGCUUAGGAGUUGAAGAGAUUGAAACUUUGCAUCUUGAUGGCUUGGCUUCAUUAAAUAUUUUGGGAGUUUGACUGCAGAUAUAAGAAAGGACGCUAGAUCGCUGAUCUGACCGGAUAUAAAAUGGACGCUAGACCGUUGAUCCAAUGGGAUACAAACAGGAUGCUAUAGUCGCUGAUCCAGCGGGAUGCAAACUGGAGGGUAGACCAUCAAUCCGAUAGGAUAUAAAAACGGACGCUAGAUCGCUGAUCCGGCGGGAUAUAAAAUGGAUGCUAGAUUGGAGGUUUGAGGAUGGGUGGCCCCAAUUAUGAGAGGUGAUUUGGGGAGUUAUGGAGGAGCUGAUUGAAAUAUGUGUGGUCAUAGUACCGUCAUAACUCUGUCACGAGUAUUGCCACCCUAUGGCUAGCUUGUGAUGGUUAGCAGAGCUUUAUAAAGUUGUUCUGAUACUACUAAAUGCUUUGUGAUGAGUAUUUGCUUGAUGUAUGUAUGCUAUUGAAUCACGUGUAAUGGUUACAAGAAUUGAGGUUAUAAAAGGUAUAAAAUUUGUGGAUUCUGAUUUAUUAUAUGAUUGUAUAGAUAUUUGCAGAUUGAAUGAUAUUGGU
Punica granatum (pomegranate) is the source of this 1094-nucleotide non-coding RNA. The record is from RefSeq and is a predicted model, not a curated record. Lineage: Eukaryota; Viridiplantae; Streptophyta; Magnoliopsida; Myrtales; Lythraceae.